GAAAACUUGGAAUAAGAAAUAGAGUGAGAGAGAGAGGAUAUACCGUCGAGUUGGCCGAAGGAGUGAGAGAGGCAGUCUGGUCAUCCGAAGGAGUGAGAGAGGGAGGCAAAGUAUAAUGAUAUCCUGAUAGUAAAUGAGAAACUUUUCUCUGCCUUUUACUCGAAGGAUUUUGAGCAUUAUCAUUUGAAUUUUCUGAUAUGUGACUAGCUGAAGAUGGUAUUGCUGUGGACAUAGAUGGCAUAUGAGAGUCUGAUUCAGCAUGUGAAAUGGACGUUGAUUCACUUAGAGCAACAGAUUGAGUAUUACUUAAUUCAACUCCUUCCAAUGGUUGACAAGCCCUGGUUAUGUCAUCUGCGUUGGAUACAC
RNAcentral lists this unclassified non-coding RNA (366 nucleotides) under Hevea brasiliensis (rubber tree). The record is from RNAcentral. Lineage: Eukaryota; Viridiplantae; Streptophyta; Magnoliopsida; Malpighiales; Euphorbiaceae.